RNAcentral lists this ribosomal RNA (623 nucleotides) under Listeria monocytogenes. RNAcentral describes it as "partial 23S ribosomal RNA". It matches the Rfam family "Bacterial large subunit ribosomal RNA", at positions 1228 to 1857 of the family's 2925-position model. Lineage: Bacteria; Bacillati; Bacillota; Bacilli; Caryophanales; Listeriaceae. The record is from RNAcentral.
GUAGGAGAGCGUUCUAAGGGCGUUGAAGGCAGAUCGUGAGGACUGCUGGAGCGCUUAGAAGUGAGAAUGCCGGUAUGAGUAGCGAAAGACAGGUGAGAAUCCUGUCCACCGAAUGACUAAGGUUUCCUGGGGAAGGCUCGUCCGCCCAGGGUUAGUCGGGACCUAAGCCGAGGCCGACAGGCGUAGGCGAUGGACAACAGGUUGAUAUUCCUGUACCCGUUGUUUUUGUUUGAGCAAUGGAGGGACGCAGGAGGCUAAGAAGUGCAGACUGAUGGAUAUGUCUGUUCAAGCAGUAAGUCUUGGUAGGAGUCAAAUGCUUCUACCUAUACGGACAAGCUGUGAUGAGGAGGGAAAUAAUAGUACCGAAGCUUCUGAUGUCACACUGCCAAGAAAAGCUUCUAGUGAGAAAACAACGGCCCGUACCGCAAACCGACACAGGUAGUCGAGGAGAGAAUCCUAAGGUGAGCGAGAGAACUCUCGUUAAGGAACUCGGCAAAAUGACCCCGUAACUUCGGGAGAAGGGGUGCUGCUCUAACGAGCAGCCGCAGUGAAUAGGCCCAAGCGACUGUUUAUCAAAAACACAGGUCUCUGCAAAAUCGAAAGAUGACGUAUAGGGGCUGACG